AGAUUAAUUAAAAAUUGCAUUUACAAAUUUAUGGAACUGUUUCUGCGAUGCCAAAGACCAAUGCUGAAAUUUGUUGGAGGUAGCUGGAGUUCGGAAGAAGCUAAAUAUGCAGCUAAACUUUCACAGCAAGGAGUGACAGUGCCAAUAAAAAGAAAAGUACAACCGCGGAACGCAGUCGAGCUUUCAGACUACGAAAUAAAAAAAAAAGUGCGGACAACUCCUUACGGGCUUUGUAAUUGAGACUUCUUUAUUGCAUCAUCACGAUUAUAUACAGCAACAAAAGCAUCACGAACUGAUGUCGUAGAUUCAGCAUAUGCUUGUGACUGUUGAACUAUAAUUGCUAUACGUAAUAUAAGUGAUAAUUUGGAUAAUUAGAAUUUGAUGCUAUUUUUAUAUGAUUGAUUGACUGAUGGAGAGCAAAAGUACUAUUGUAAAAGUAUACUACUAAGUAUACUGAAUACAAAUUAUGCGAAAUAAUGUGAAA
RNAcentral lists this long non-coding RNA (484 nucleotides) under Polistes fuscatus (common paper wasp). RNAcentral's name for it is "uncharacterized LOC122521651". The record is from RNAcentral. Lineage: Eukaryota; Metazoa; Arthropoda; Insecta; Hymenoptera; Vespidae.